AAGGAAGACGAGCUGAUGGGAAGCAGGUGUGCCAAUGGGAGCAGGAGCAGGGACACGCCUCCCACAGGUCCUCACAGGAACAGUAACACCUGUCAACAUUGGGAGGAAGAGGGCCAAGGAAAAAGACGGAGGACACGUAUGACAGAAAAUGAAGUCAGUGUCGAGUGAUGAUGAGCUGGUCCUGAUGCUCGUAAACAAGAAAAGGAAGAAAUGAAGAUUCUGGGUUUAUCUGAUCUUCAGGCAGCAGCAGGGAGACUUUCAUUGUUCGAUCCAGGAGCCGGACCCAGAGUAGCAUCUCGCUGUGUGUUGGAGCAGUUGGUGGAGAGCAAGCAGCAGAUGCCUCGCCAUCCGAUGGCGAUUAAUCCUCCCACCGGCCAUCAGCCGCCGGCCCCGAGCCUCUGCCAUCAUCACGCCGGCAACGUAAGGAACACACGGCCGAGGUGAAGGUGGGACGGAGGAGCGAGGAGCGGUCGCUGCACCGGAGGGUGUCUCCCUCUGUUUCCCCCACCGCUCGUCUGUUUUCCACUCGUAGACCUCUCUCUGCAGACGACAGGACGACCAGCUGGGGCCCGCUGUCUCCACGGUGUGUGUGUGUGUGUGUGUGCGUGUCUGGAGCCAUGUUCGAUAUAAUGUUGGGAAUCAUUAUUAAACCUGUGAGCUCAGGGAAACAUUUGCACAGAACUUUUUUCCAGGUUGUUCUGUUGUAGCUCCAAUUGAAAAAUAGCCCCUAAACGCACCACAUCCAGGCACCCAGAUUGCAGAUUUGAACAUAGGACAGCAAAGGCCACACUGACUGCAUGUGUGAGUGGGAUUGUGUUUGUAUAUAAUGUGGCUGUGCACAGUGGCCUGCCUGCAGUUUUCUCAAGAGCCGCUCAUCCCAGAACAACGACUGAGACUCACGUCUCACAGGAAACUAAGACAAAAAAAAGGUAGGAAAAUCUAUUAUUUUAGUCCUUCUUAGUCACAGAAUUUUUUAAAAGCCAAACAUUUGCUUGCAGCCUGUUUUUCAUCUUCCCAACUUCCCUUCAAGUUCCUCUCUGAGUGUUUUAUAACAACAUGGAAGUGCAGUGCCUAUAAUGUCCACUAGAGGCUCCCUCCAGCAGUGAGUCAGUGCCUAUAGACUCC
Long non-coding RNA from Oreochromis niloticus (Nile tilapia), 1125 nucleotides. RefSeq lists it as uncharacterized. The transcript is spliced from 3 exons. NCBI's taxonomy places the organism in Eukaryota, Metazoa, Chordata, Actinopteri, Cichliformes, Cichlidae. The record is from RefSeq and is a predicted model, not a curated record.